GACAGAGGUGGCGAGCGUUGUUCGGAUUUAUUGGGCGUAAAGCGUACGCAGGCGGUUUGGUAAGUCAGAGGUGAAAGUCCACGGCUUAACCGUGGCACUGCCUUUGAUACUGCCUUUCUUGAGUAGAGUAGGGGGAAGCGGAAUUCCGAGUGUAGAGGUGAAAUUCGUAGAUAUUCGGAGGAACACCGGUGGCGAAGGCGGCUUCCUGGACUCUAACUGACGCUCAUGUACGAAAGCGUGGGUAGCAAACAGG
Molecule: ribosomal RNA, 253 nt
Filed under: uncultured bacterium
Lineage: Bacteria
Description: partial 16S ribosomal RNA
Rfam family: Bacterial small subunit ribosomal RNA
Source: RNAcentral